GCUCCGAUGGCCUAGUGGUUUGAGUGUCCGCCUUGGAUGCGGGAGGUCGCGGGUUCGAACCAAGGCCUGAGUA
Potamilus streckersoni is the source of this 73-nucleotide non-coding RNA. Lineage: Eukaryota; Metazoa; Mollusca; Bivalvia; Unionida; Unionidae. The record is from the annotation of a GenBank genome assembly.